This 465-nucleotide ribosomal RNA is filed under the name Vreelandella stevensii. RNAcentral's name for it is "partial 16S ribosomal RNA". It matches the Rfam family "Bacterial small subunit ribosomal RNA", at positions 338 to 795 of the family's 1533-position model. The record is from RNAcentral. Lineage: Bacteria; Pseudomonadati; Pseudomonadota; Gammaproteobacteria; Oceanospirillales; Halomonadaceae.
CCUACGGGUGGCAGCAGUGGGGAAUAUUGGACAAUGGGGGCAACCCUGAUCCAGCCAUGCCGCGUGUGUGAAGAAGGCCCUCGGGUUGUAAAGCACUUUCAGUGAGGAAGAACGCCUGGUGGUUAAUACCCAUCAGGAAAGACAUCACUCACAGAAGAAGCACCGGCUAACUCCGUGCCAGCAGCCGCGGUAAUACGGAGGGUGCGAGCGUUAAUCGGAAUUACUGGGCGUAAAGCGCGCGUAGGUGGCUUGAUAAGCCGGUUGUGAAAGCCCCGGGCUCAACCUGGGAACGGCAUCCGGAACUGUCAAGCUAGAGUGCAGGAGAGGAAGGUAGAAUUCCCGGUGUAGCGGUGGAAUGCGUAGAGAUCGGGAGGAAUACCAGUGGCGAAGGCGGCCUUCUGGACUGACACUGACACUGAGGUGCGAAAGCGUGGGUAGCAAACAGGAUUAGAUACCCCGGUAGUC